Molecule: ribosomal RNA, 411 nt
Filed under: uncultured eukaryote
Lineage: Eukaryota
Description: bacterial SSU rRNA
Rfam family: Eukaryotic small subunit ribosomal RNA
Source: RNAcentral
UUGGAGUUCUAGUUCAUUUACUUUGAGAAAUUAGAGUGUUUAAAGCAGCCUCUUGGGGCACUGAAUACAUUAGCAUGGGAUAAUAAAUAGGAUCUUCACAAUAUAUUUUAUUGGUUUAAAUUGCGUAUGAAGAUAAUGAUUAAUAGGGACAGUUGGGGGUAUUCAUAUUGGGUGGUUAGCGGUGAAAUGCUCGGAUCCAUUCGAAGAUGAACUAAAGCGAAAGCAUUUACCAAGGAUGUUUUCAUUAAUCAAGAACGAAAGUUAAGGGAUCGAAGACGAUUAGAUACCGUCGUAGUCUUAACUAUAAACUAUGCCGACCAGGGAUAUGAGUUGUUAGGGAUAUAUGAAAAUAUAUCCAAUUUCUUCUUAUGGACCUUGUGAGAAAUCAUAAGUUUUUUGGGUUCUGGGGGG